This 301-nucleotide ribosomal RNA is filed under the name uncultured bacterium. RNAcentral's name for it is "partial 16S ribosomal RNA". It matches the Rfam family "Bacterial small subunit ribosomal RNA", at positions 509 to 808 of the family's 1533-position model. The record is from RNAcentral.
CAGUCGCGCGGUAAUACAGAGGGUGCGAGCGUUAAUCGGAUUUACUGGGCGUAAAGCGUGCGUAGGCGGCUUCUUAAGUCGGAUGUGAAAUCCCUGAGCUUAACUUAGGAAUUGCAUUCGAUACUGGGAAGCUAGAGUAUGGGAGAGGAUGGUAGAAUUCCAGGUGUAGCGGUGAAAUGCGUAGAGAUCUGGAGGAAUACCGAUGGCGAAGGCAGCCAUCUGGCCUAAUACUGACGCUGAGGUACGAAAGCAUGGGGAGCAAACAGGAUUAGAUACCCGCGUAGUCCCUGUCUCUUAUACA